Long non-coding RNA from Girardinichthys multiradiatus, 679 nucleotides. RefSeq lists it as uncharacterized. Lineage: Eukaryota; Metazoa; Chordata; Actinopteri; Cyprinodontiformes; Goodeidae. The record is from RefSeq and is a predicted model, not a curated record. The transcript is spliced from 3 exons.
GGAUGAGCUCAGCUGACAAGCGAGGAGGAACACAGUCGAAGGUCCUUUAAAAAGAAGGCGUUGGAAGGUGAUUGGAUGAUGAAUCAGGCGGACAGGAUGCUGAUUGGAAGGCCGGGAGACGCACGGGGAAGUCAUUGGACGGUGGAGACGGUGAGGCCCAACUUCCGCUGUCUGUGUAGUGGUGUGGAUGCUGCUGUAAGGAUAUUUUUCCUGCAUGAGUGUCUCCAGAUGGCAGUAGACAAGGGGGCAUUGCCACAUGACCGCAUCAUUCUGUCCAGUCCUCGCUGAGACGACGAUGGCAGGAUGGCUUCGGUGUGCGGUGACAGAUUGCUGGAGGAGAAGUGGUCUAAAUAAAGUACAAAUAUGGAUAAUGAACCCAAUCCAUAUUUGUGGCAAGGAAAAGAAAACUGAUAAUUGAGCAGCAUGUAAAAUAAUUUUAUCUAAGAUUUCUAAUUACUGUACUGAGAACCAUGUUUGCAGCAUGAAGUGUAACAAAGAUGCUGAGUGAUGUUAUACUCUGUAUGUACUACACAAUCAAAUGACAUCAAUGUUACUCUGUUAAUUAUGUAUAUAGCUGCUGGGAAAAAUUUGCUCUUCUUCAUCUCCUCAUUUGGUGUUUCUCUUAUUUUUUAGCCUUAGGAUAAUACAUUUGAUGCACUACUGCUCACUUUGUGGUCAU